Molecule: ribosomal RNA, 478 nt
Filed under: uncultured bacterium
Lineage: Bacteria
Description: partial 16S ribosomal RNA
Rfam family: Bacterial small subunit ribosomal RNA
Source: RNAcentral
GAUGAACGCUGGCGGCGUGCUUAACACAUGCAAGUCGAACGGGAAACCUUUUAUUGCAGCUUCGGCAGAUUUAGCUGGUUUCUAGUGGCGGACGGGUGAGUAACGCGUGGGUAACCUGCCUUAUACAGGGGGAUAACAGUCAGAAAUGGCUGCUAAUACCGCAUAAGCGCACAGAGCUGCAUGGCUCAGUGUGAAAAACUCCGGUGGUAUAAGAUGGACCCGCGUUGGAUUAGCUGGUUGGUGGGGUAACGGCCCACCAAGGCGACGAUCCAUAGCCGGCCUGAGAGGGUGAACGGCCACAUUGGGUCUGAGACACGGCCCAGACUCCUACGGGAGGCAGCAGUGGGGAAUAUUGCACAAUGGGGGAAACCCUGAUGCAGCGACGCCGCGUGAAGGAAGAAGUAUCUCGGUAUGUAAACUUCUAUCAGCAGGGAAGAUAAUGACGGUACCUGACGAAGAAGCCCCGGCUAACUACGUG